This 317-nucleotide long non-coding RNA is filed under the name Vigna radiata. RNAcentral's name for it is "long non-coding RNA (VRAD_LNC014725)". Lineage: Eukaryota; Viridiplantae; Streptophyta; Magnoliopsida; Fabales; Fabaceae. The record is from RNAcentral.
GGGGAAAAUUGAAAGGCAAUUGAAAAGUAUUGAGCUCAAAAGUUGUGAAAGAAAAAUACAUGAGAAAAAGAAAAGAAAGAAGAAAAGCAUGAAGAUGGGCUCAAGGCAAAAGAAAAAGGGGAAAAGUUGGGAAUAAGAGAGAUUGCUGAGGAAGAGAGUUGUGCUUAAAUGUUGAAUACUAUAGUAGCUCUCUUAACUCAAGGAUUUUACAUUCCAGAAAAACCAAUUUUUCUUGUUAGCCCAGCCUCAUUACAAGCCUUGGAAAAGUCCUUUUGAUGGCAUUUGCAUGUAAGAAUUUUGAUUGUUUUAGAUGAAUG